Long non-coding RNA from Eufriesea mexicana, 651 nucleotides. RefSeq lists it as uncharacterized. The record is from RefSeq and is a predicted model, not a curated record. The transcript has 4 exons. Lineage: Eukaryota; Metazoa; Arthropoda; Insecta; Hymenoptera; Apidae.
AAAAAGGAGAGAGAAUUCUUGACUAAUCGAAUUCCACUAGCGGAUUCAGCUUUAUGUAAAUUGACUUUCAUUUUUCUACGGAAUUGCCACAGUAGUAUAGAAUAAGGUGGUAUUUUUAAUACUUCAGCGCAUCUUUUGAUCCAUUUGUAUUUGGUGACAUACCAAGCGCAACCUACGCUGUGCAUCCAUUUGAUACAAAAAAAUAAGGAUGAUGUUGCGUAUGUCUUAAGAAAAGAAAUUGAUACCACUCAUUACGCAAAUCGUUGCCAAUCGAAGAAAAAAAUUAGUGGCCACCGGAGGACUCUAAAAUGAAACACCUGCUGAGGAUUACCUUAUAGAUCCAUCUGGAAAAACUAUUCAAGAGGAAAUCGGAUAGUGGAAGUAGUUCUUCGAUCGGCAAUUUGUUAAGAGACGCGGAAGAAAAUGGUCAGAGCAGAGGCAGCCGUUUGUUCGAAAUGAAAAAGCAGUCGUUGUCGGCCGGCGAGAUACCAAGUUCACUGACUCCGAUGACUAAUACGAAAUUAAUUACUCGACCGCUAACGUUUCCUUCCAGACGCCUUAAUGGCGCUCCGGCUACAUGGAAACUAUGCGAAAUUUACCGGGGUAGAACCAGCAAAUCGUGGAAAUCGUUAAUUACCGUUCGUUUCUAAG